GCGGGAAUGGCGGAAUUGGCAGACGCGCUAGGUUGAGGGCCUAGUCCCUGUAAUGGGGGUGCAGGUUCAAGUCCUGUUUCCCGCA
This 85-nucleotide transfer RNA is filed under the name Planctomycetota bacterium. RNAcentral's name for it is "tRNA-Leu". It matches the Rfam family "tRNA". Rfam says of the family: Transfer RNA (tRNA) molecules are approximately 80 nucleotides in length. The record is from RNAcentral. Lineage: Bacteria; Pseudomonadati; Planctomycetota.